RNAcentral lists this ribosomal RNA (656 nucleotides) under Listeria monocytogenes. RNAcentral's name for it is "partial 23S ribosomal RNA". It matches the Rfam family "Bacterial large subunit ribosomal RNA", at positions 1 to 650 of the family's 2925-position model. The record is from RNAcentral. Lineage: Bacteria; Bacillati; Bacillota; Bacilli; Caryophanales; Listeriaceae.
UUAGAUUAAGUUAUUAAGGGCGCACGGUGGAUGCCUUGGCACUAGAAGCCGAUGAAGGACGUUACUAACGACGAUAUGCUUUGGGUAGCUGUAAGUAAGCGUUGAUCCAGAGAUUUCCGAAUGGGGAAACCCAGCACAAGUUAUGUUGUGUUAUCGACAAGUGAAUUCAUAGCUUGUCAGAAGGCAGACCCGGAGAACUGAAACAUCUUAGUACCCGGAGGAAGAGAAAGAAAAUUCGAUUCCCUGAGUAGCGGCGAGCGAAACGGGAAGAGCCCAAACCAAUAAGCUUGCUUAUUGGGGUUGUAGGACACUCUAUACGGAGUUACAAAGGAAUAUAUUAAACGAAUCAUCUGGAAAGUUGAAUCAAAGAAGGUAAUAAUCCUGUAGUUGAAAAUAUAUUCUCUCUUGAGUGGAUCCUGAGUACGACGGAGCACGUGAAAUUCCGUCGGAAUCUGGGAGGACCAUCUCCUAAGGCUAAAUACUCUCUAGUGACCGAUAGUGAACCAGUACCGUGAGGGAAAGGUGAAAAGUACCCCGGAAGGGGAGUGAAAGAGAACUUGAAACCGUGUGCUUACAAGUAGUCAGAGCCCGUUAAUGGGUGAUGGCGUGCCUUUUGUAGAAUGAACCGGCGAGUUACGAUCUGAUGCAAGGUUAAG